CUACCUCUCAGUCUUUUGGCUAAGGUCCAGUGUAAUAUCUGUUCCUAUGUUUAAUCUGUUUAAUAUCUGAUAUAUCCUCUAUCCAACAACAAUUACAUUAAAUAUAUUAAAUAAGUUUUUGGAAAUAGGAGAUGGAAUAGGUGCUUGCUCCAUCUACUCCACACACUGAUCAGGUAUUGCAGUGCCUCCAAAAACUGUGCACAUGCA
Molecule: small nuclear RNA, 207 nt
Filed under: Sciurus vulgaris (Eurasian red squirrel)
Lineage: Eukaryota; Metazoa; Chordata; Mammalia; Rodentia; Sciuridae
Description: U2 spliceosomal RNA (ENSSVLG00005016046.1)
Rfam family: U2 spliceosomal RNA
About the family: U2 is a small nuclear RNA (snRNA) component of the spliceosome (involved in pre-mRNA splicing).
Source: Rfam by way of RNAcentral